Molecule: ribosomal RNA, 497 nt
Filed under: uncultured bacterium
Lineage: Bacteria
Description: partial 16S ribosomal RNA
Rfam family: Bacterial small subunit ribosomal RNA
Source: RNAcentral
GAUGAACGCUGGCGGGGUGCCUAAUACAUGCAAGUCGAGCGAACAGACGAGGAGCUUGCUCCUCUGACGUUAGCGGCGGACGGGUGAGUAACACGUGGAUAACCUACCUAUAAGACUGGGAUAACUUCGGGAAACCGGAGCUAAUACCGGAUAAUAUAUUGAACCGCAUGGUUCAAUAGUGAAAGACGGUUUUGCUGUCACUUAUAGAUGGAUCCGCGCCGCAUUAGCUAGUUGGUAAGGUAACGGCUUACCAAGGCAACGAUGCGUAGCCGACCUGAGAGGGUGAUCGGCCACACUGGAACUGAGACACGGUCCAGACUCCUACGGGAGGCAGCAGUAGGGAAUCUUCCGCAAUGGGCGAAAGCCUGACGGAGCAACGCCGCGUGAGUGAUGAAGGUCUUCGGAUCGUAAAACUCUGUUAUUAGGGAAGAACAAAUGUGUAAGUAACUAUGCACGUCUUGACGGUACCUAAUCAGAAAGCCACGGCUAACUACGUG